Molecule: ribosomal RNA, 294 nt
Filed under: Crotalus tancitarensis
Lineage: Eukaryota; Metazoa; Chordata; Lepidosauria; Squamata; Viperidae
Description: partial 16S ribosomal RNA
Source: RNAcentral
GCUGACACAACAACUAAGUCACAAAUAUACAUUGCUGAAUAAAACAAACCAUUUGACCAACCCAGUAGAUGCGAUCGAACAGUCACACGUCACAACAAAGUACCGCAAGGGAACCACCAUCAAGCAAUAAACAGCAAAGACUAAUCCUUGUACCUUUUGCAUCAUGAUUUAGCAAGAACACAAGAACAAGAAGAAUCACAGCUCUUUUCCCCGAAACCGAACGAGCUAUUUUUAAGCAGUCUAACGGACGCACCCCUCUANGUAGCAAANNNNUGGAAAGACUUAAAAAUAGAG